RNAcentral lists this ribosomal RNA (255 nucleotides) under Lawsonia intracellularis. RNAcentral describes it as "partial 16S ribosomal RNA". It matches the Rfam family "Bacterial small subunit ribosomal RNA", at positions 853 to 1105 of the family's 1533-position model. Lineage: Bacteria; Pseudomonadati; Thermodesulfobacteriota; Desulfovibrionia; Desulfovibrionales; Desulfovibrionaceae. The record is from RNAcentral.
UAACGCGUUAAGCACCCCGCCUGGGGAGUACGGUCGCAAGGCUGAAACUCAAAGAAAUUGACGGGGGCCCGCACAAGCGGUGGAGUAUGUGGUUUAAUUCGAUGCAACGCGAAGAACCUUACCCAGGCUUGACAUCUGAGGGACUCUUAAGAGAUUAAGAGGUGCCUUUCGGGGAGCCUCAAGACAGGUGCUGCAUGGCUGUCGUCAGCUCGUGCCGUGAGGUGUUGGGUUAAGUCCCGCAACGAGCGCAACCCU